Long non-coding RNA from Oncorhynchus tshawytscha (Chinook salmon), 815 nucleotides. The record is from Ensembl. NCBI's taxonomy places the organism in Eukaryota, Metazoa, Chordata, Actinopteri, Salmoniformes, Salmonidae.
UGCCUGUCACAUCUGUGAAUGUGGAAUGUGUUUUGUUGGUUGAUUGAAAAACAAGAAAACUUAAUAAAACUUUAAAUUGAAAAAAAACACCAGAAAUUAACACCAGCCACCAGUUCCCAGCCACCAUUUACCCGCCACCAGUUACCCGCCACCAGUUACCCACCAGUUACCAGCCACCAGUUACCAGCCACCAGUUACCAGCCACCAGUUACCAGCCACCAGUUACCAGUCACCAGUCAAAUGGUGCUAGAUUCUGGCAUUGGCUGGUAGAAUGUGUAUUCUUACAGGCCACAUUGGCGGGUGGUCACACAGAGCAUUUGGGAACAGUUAAAUAUGUUUUAUCAAAGCCCACAUGUAAAAAAAAAACAUUAAAAAAAUAAAUAAAUAUAUAUUUGAGUGUGAAUGUGUGUGUGUCAUCUCAAUACCACCAUGCAGAAAGCAGGGUAACAGUGUUUUCUGUGAUGUAUCUAACCCUAACCCUUUAAGAGAGAAUCUCAAUACCACCAUGCUGAAAGCGUAAUGAUUAUAUAAGGAUAUGCUAUAGACUGUGUGGUGUAUUGUGGAUAUGUUAUAGACUGUGUGGUAUAUUGUGUUCAUAGUGGAUAUAUUAUAGACUGUGUGGUGUAUUGUGGAUAUAUUAUAGACUGUGUGGUGUAUUGUGGAUAUAUUAUAGACUGUGUGGUGUAUUGUGGAUAUAUUAUAGACUGUGUGGUGUAUUGUGUUCAUAGUGGAUAUGUUAUACUAUGAGGUGUAUUGUGUUCAUAGUGGAUAUGUUAUAGACUGUGGUGUAUUGUGUUCAUAGUGGAUAUGUUAUA